AUCCCUGUUAGCCACUCUGAUGGUGAUGCUUUGUUCUUAUCAGUUUAAUAUCUGAUACGUCCUCUAUCUGAGGACAAUAUAUUAAAUGGAUUUUUGGAACUAGGAGAUGGAAUAGGAGCUUGCUCCGUCCACUCCGCGCAUCGACCUGGUAUUGCAGUACUUCCUGGAGCGGUGCACUCCCA
Echinops telfairi (small Madagascar hedgehog) is the source of this 182-nucleotide small nuclear RNA. RefSeq annotates it as U2 spliceosomal RNA. The transcript has a single exon. The record is from RefSeq and is a predicted model, not a curated record. NCBI's taxonomy places the organism in Eukaryota, Metazoa, Chordata, Mammalia, Afrosoricida, Tenrecidae.